RNAcentral lists this ribosomal RNA (785 nucleotides) under uncultured Glomus. RNAcentral describes it as "SSU rRNA". It matches the Rfam family "Eukaryotic small subunit ribosomal RNA", at positions 325 to 1111 of the family's 1831-position model. The record is from RNAcentral. Lineage: Eukaryota; Fungi; Glomeromycota; Glomeromycetes; Glomerales; Glomeraceae.
AUGGUAGGAUAGAGGCCUACCAUGGUGGUAACGGGUAACGGGGUGUUAGGGCACGACACCGGAGAGGGAGCCUGAGAAACGGCUACCACAUCCAAGGAUGGCAGCAGGCGCGCAAAUUACCCAAUCCCGACACGGGGAGGUAGUGACAAUAAAUAACAAUACGGGGUUCUUAUGGAUCUCGUAAUUGGAAUGAGUACAAUUUAAAUCUCUUAACGAGGAACAAUUGGAGGGCAAGUCUGGUGCCAGCAGCCGCGGUAAUUCCAGCUCCAAUAGCGUAUAUUAAAGUUGUUGCAGUUAAAAAGCUCGUAGUUGAAUUUCGGGGUCAGUAGGUUGGUCAUGCCACUGGUAUGUACUGGUCUCACUGAUUCCUCCUUCCUGAUGAACUGUAAUGCCAUUAAUUUGGUGUUGCAGGGAAUCUGGACUGUUACUUUGAAAAAAUUAGAGUGUUUAAAGCAGGCUAACGCCUGAAUACAUUAGCAUGGAAUAAUGAAAUAGGACGUUCGAUCCUAUUUUGUUGGUUUCUAGGAUUGACGUAAUGAUUAAUAGGGAUAGUUGGGGGCAUUAGUAUUCAAUUGUCAGAGGUGAAAUUCUUGGAUUUAUUGAAGACUAACUACUGCGAAAGCAUUUGCCAAGGAUGUUUUCAUUAAUCAAGAACGAAAGUUAGGGGAUCGAAGACGAUCAGAUACCGUCGUAGUCUUAACCAUAAACUAUGCCGACUAGGGAUCGGAUGAUGUUAAUUUUUUAAUGACUCAUUCGGCGCCUUACGGGAAACCAAAGUGUUUGGG